GACGAACCGUCCAAACGUUAUUCGGUAUCACUGGGCUUAAAGGGUGCGUAGGCGGCCGAGUAAGUUGGGUGUGAAAGCCCUCGGCUCAACCGAGGAAUUGCGCCCAAAACUGCUCGGCUCGAGGGAGAUAGAGGUGAGCGGAACUUAGGGUGGAGCGGUGAAAUGCGUUGAUAUCCUAAGGAACACCGGAGGCGAAGGCGGCUCACUGGGUCUUUCCUGACGCUGAGGCACGAAAGCUAGGGGAGCAAACAGG
RNAcentral lists this ribosomal RNA (253 nucleotides) under uncultured bacterium. Its description in RNAcentral is "partial 16S ribosomal RNA". It matches the Rfam family "Bacterial small subunit ribosomal RNA", at positions 524 to 776 of the family's 1533-position model. The record is from RNAcentral.